Molecule: ribosomal RNA, 279 nt
Filed under: uncultured bacterium
Lineage: Bacteria
Description: partial 16S ribosomal RNA
Source: RNAcentral
CUGCUGCCUUCCGUAGGAGUCUGGUCCGUGUCUCAGUACCAGUGUGGGGGACCUUCCUCUCAGAACCCCUACGCAUCGUCGCCUUGGUGGGCCGUUACCCCGCCAACUAGCUAAUGCGACGCAUGACCAUCCGUAGCCGGAAUCGCUUCCUUUAAACCCGAGGAGAUGCCUCCUCGGGUUGUUACGCGGUAUUAGACGGAAUUUCUUCCGCUUAUCCCCCUGCUACGGGCAGGUUUCAUACGUGUUACUCACCCGUGCGCCGGUCGCCCGGCGGGAGUA